Terrapene triunguis (Three-toed box turtle) is the source of this 554-nucleotide long non-coding RNA. RefSeq lists it as uncharacterized. The record is from RefSeq and is a predicted model, not a curated record. The transcript is spliced from 4 exons. Lineage: Eukaryota; Metazoa; Chordata; Testudines; Emydidae.
GGUGUUCGAAGCAGCCGGGAGGGCUGCCCGCUUGCCCAGUCUUGCCGGGCACGGCGCGCAGCUGUUGCGAGAGGCGGUCCGGGGAAGCGCAGGGAGGGGGGCAGAGGAACGCGUGCGCUUGCCCGUCGUUGUGUAACGCUAACCGGGAGCCGCCGCUAGCGACCAAGCUGCACUGCAGGCACCUUGCCAGUCAAUCCCAGGCUGCGCAGGUAGCACCAUUAGAAACUAUGGUGAGAGUUCACAGUCUCAAUCAAUGCAGUUAUAGAAUUGUAGUCUGGUCAAGCUAACAAACAGGAUCAGUAAAGAGGGGAGUUCUGCGAGGGAGUUCUCCAGGCAAAGGAGGAGUGACUACAUUACCCUCAGGUACGAGCCUAAAAUCACAUACAUUCAAAACAGCUGGUAAAUGAGCCGUAAACAACUUCGGCUGAUAAACAUGAGCUGGCUCUGGAAAAAGCAGCCACGUGAGCAGUGACUGGAGUGCACAGAUGAAGAGACCAUGGCAUUGGACAUGAUUGUAAGGACCUGGAGAGGUUAGAACAGAGACUCAGAGCCUU